Molecule: long non-coding RNA, 2593 nt
Filed under: Helianthus annuus (common sunflower)
Lineage: Eukaryota; Viridiplantae; Streptophyta; Magnoliopsida; Asterales; Asteraceae
Description: sRNA HanXRQr2_Chr09g0409981
Source: RNAcentral
AUUGUGUUGAUCUCCAGGAGAAGAAAAGGGGUGCAAACCCUAGUUCAUAAAGAAUCUUCAAAAUUGAAGGGAAAUUGGAGCUCAAACCCAUUAACGAGCAUGAAUUAAUGAUCACCUACACAAGAUGAUCACAAGGGUGAUAAUGCAGAAUUACAGCAGCAUGGUUAAUUAGUACAGCAUGUUGAUUGAAGCAAAACGUGUUGCUGUCCUGUUUUUGUAAAAUUCAUAUAAAUUCAUGUAUACAUCGUAUGGAGACGUUCUUUAUAUGCCUGGAGAGCUAUUUCAAUAAGCUGCGUUUCGUUAGUUUACUUGAAAACCUGAUUCGAAAGUUAAAAGGGUGAAAAUGUUGAAUUACAGCAGCAUGAUUAAUUAGUACAGCAUGAUGAUUUAAAAUAGUAUUAAGAAUGAUGAUAUAACAGAUUGGUUAAGGUGUUUGCCCGUCCUAAACGGGUCAGAUGAACAAAGAGUGCUUUAGUGAAAGAAUGGUCAAAGUGUUUACCCGUCAUGAACGGGUCAAACGAACAAAGAAUGUCACGUGUUAAGGGACGGAACUAAUACAUAAGCAUGUUUAUAUACGGAAAAUGGUGUGCCUAACAAAGUAAUGUGCUUGGAGGAAAUUGAAUGAUUGUGAUUGUACGUGUGUAUGUAAAUAAAAUUUACAUUGAGUAUAUGUAGUACGAAUUUAUAGGUGGCUCUAUUAGUAAGUUCGAAUCUAAUAGAAUUUCAAGGUGUAUGUAAGGUUUGGAUAAAAAAUAUGUAAGCACGCAUUUUAGAUUUAGUAUGUACAGUAGAAACUCGAUAAAUUAAUACUCGAUUAUUUAAUAAACUCUCUAAGAUAAUAUUUUUUGUCGGUCCCGACUCGGGGAUAGGGUGCUAAAUUAAUAAUUCGCUAAAAUUAUAAGAUAAUACAUUUUUUAUAAUUUCUUUAGACCCCAUAUAAAAUAUAAAUUAAUAAUUCCUUAUAUAUAGCAUAUUACAUGAAUGAUUUAUGAAGGUUUCUUGAAAAAUGACUCAAUUGUCUUUUGUUUUUUUGUUGAAAUCAAUUUCCCCUUGAAUCUCGUCUCUAAUUUUCCUUAGCAUGGUAAGAACUUCUGGUGUUGUUUUCUCAUAGCUCAACAAGAAAUUGUUCAAUGUGAUUGCCACUUUAAUAGCUUCGUUUCGCGAAGGGGGCUCCAUUGUAGAACUUUCAUCAUCUUCUUCAUCGAUAUCAUCUUUAUUAAUUCCAAUAACGCUUUCAAUAAUUUCUUCAUCAGUCAACAACUGUGCAACUACAUUUUCUUCUGGGUGAGUCAGAACAUCUUCGACAUCCAUUGCAUUGCGAUAACCCAACUCUUUGAUCAAAUUCUGGAGUUCUUGAGUGCUUUCACCACCUUCAUCUGAGUUCUCAAAAGUCAUGUUAUCUGUUGAUCGAAGUUUACAAUGACGAAAGCAGUUCGCAAUUGUAUUUGCACGAACAUCCAUAGUCCAUGCUGAAAUUGCAAGAUUCAUUGCAUCUAAUACAUUUUUUGCUGGAUUUGGAACCCCUAAUUCAUAACCCUCCAAAAGACUUCUAUGAAAUCGACGACGAUAACGCAUCUUAAAAGCUCGUAUGAUCCCCGUGUCAUAAGGUUGAAUUUUUGAAGUUGUGUUUGGUGGCAAGUGAGAGAUACUCUAAAGACCGCUUAACUGUAUUCGAUAUUGUCGCUUGACUCACCUGCAAACCAUAGUUACUAUGAACCCAUUCUUGCAACUGCUUUUGAGUGAGACUUGGAUUAUCCUUGUUGUGCUUGCAUAAUGCUCUUCGAAUCUCGUCUGUCAUUGUUGUUUUUUUUUUCACACCUUUAAGAUUGGAAGCCAUGUUGUGUGUAUGAUUUGUUUGUGUUAAUCUAUUUUGAUCUUGUAUUUAUAUAGAAAAUAUUUUUAAUGUCCAUAAAGUGAUAUAUUGAACACAAGAAGCAUAAUAAGGUGAGAGAUUGAAGGUUUCUUUCAAAUUGGCCGUUCAUUUGAUAUACAUGCAUUGUAUACAAUAAUUAAGUGAAAGCUUGAAAGUUGUUCGUAAACUAAGUAUUCUACUAUAAAUUAAUAAAAUAUUAAUUAAUAUAUAAAUUAAUAAUUAUUCAUUUAUCGAUUAAUUAAUAACUCUUUUAAUUAAUAAAUUUUGGUGGUCCCAAGUGUAUUAUUUUAUAGAGUUUCUACUACACUAAUGAAUGUAUUUUGUACAUUCAAAGGCAUGGGUUUCAUGCGUACAAAUAUAAAUGGUACUAAUCAGGUUGCUAUGGAGAAUGAAAUGAAGUGCAGGUACAUCAUUGUUGGAUCAUUAAAGGAUUGACACGGAAAUGUAAAAUUGGAAGUCAGGGAGUUAUCCGGAUGACAUGCAUUUAAGAAUGGAACGUUACACAGAUCAUUACUAUUAAUCACAAGGGACAAGCGAGUGAAGAUCGAGUCAAAGAACGUGGAUUGUAUAGAAGGAUGGUCACUUGAUCGUAGUCACAUGUUAUAUUUGAAAUAUAUAAAUUAAAAGAUGAAUGAUGAAAUUAUUUUAAAUGAGUUGUCCUUAGAUGUUUAUUAAGUAUGUUAGGACAUGUAUAAAGAAAGAAAUUUUAAGGUUUGUAUU